This 253-nucleotide ribosomal RNA is filed under the name uncultured bacterium. RNAcentral's name for it is "partial 16S ribosomal RNA". It matches the Rfam family "Bacterial small subunit ribosomal RNA", at positions 524 to 776 of the family's 1533-position model. The record is from RNAcentral.
UACAGAGGUGCCAAGCGUUGUUCGGAUUUAUUGGGCGUAAAGGGUGCGUAGGCGGUUGUGCAAGUCGGAUGUGAAAUCCCGGAGCCUAACUCCGGAACGGCAUUCGAAACUGCACGGCUCGAGGUCUGGAGAGGUGACUGGAAUUCUCGGUGUAGCAGUGAAAUGCGUAGAUAUCGAGAGGAACACCAGAGGCGAAAGCGAGUCACUGGACAGAACCUGACGCUGAGGCACGAAAGCCAGGGGAGCAAACGGG